Molecule: ribosomal RNA, 1578 nt
Filed under: Triticum aestivum (bread wheat)
Lineage: Eukaryota; Viridiplantae; Streptophyta; Magnoliopsida; Poales; Poaceae
Description: partial small subunit ribosomal RNA
Source: RNAcentral
AUGUCAGCUGGUGGAACAAUUAUGAACAAGACCGUUGAGGAUGCAAUUAUUCUCAUUGAGAGCAUUGGCUUCCACCAAAUGCAAUGGGGUUAUGAAAGGCCUAGUUCAAAUCCGAAGGUUGCAAGCCGUCUGCAAUCAGAAGCUGUGUGUUCCAUAAGUGAACAGAAAUCAUCCAUGGUGCCUAAUAUUCAAAACCAGCAUGUUUCAUUCCGGGGACAACAACAUUUCAGAACUGAAUUAGAUCCUCCAUAUAGAAAGAUUGAUCUUACUUCAAUUAUCCUUGAUGAUGAUUAUGAUAUUUUUCAAGAUGAUGCAACCAUUGUAGAUCAGAUGGAAACCAUAGUAGCAGAUCCAAUACCUCAUGGCAAUGAAACUGUCCAAAAUGAGUCAAAGUUGCAAGAUGUUUAUGAGGAACCUACUCUGAUUGAUGCUAAGUUGAGACAACAAGAUAUGGAGAAAUUCACUUGUGUUAGUCAACUAUGUGACUGGUGGAAUUUAGUCGUGUCACCAAUUGCCCACACUUGUGUUACAACUGUAUCUGGGCUAUUUGUCAAGAAGAAAUCAUUAGCUCCACCGGUGGUUGCCUCUAUCACAGUUAAAGAGAGUAUCUCAGAGAAGAAUAGUGAAGAUGAGAUUCCAACUCCUGCACAUACAACUAAGCAAGUCGGAGACAUUCCAAGGAGAGAGAUACAAGAGGAUGAGUCAAAUUUAGAAGAGUUGAUACUUCAAUGUCCUGAGAAGAUCCCACGUGUUGCUGAGCUGCAUGACUGGUGGAAGUCAUCAGUGUCACUGUUGAAACUUAGCAGUGAUGGUGAUGAGGAGAACAUUGCUCAGAAAGACAGCGAGGUAGUGAUCUCAGCACCCCUACCAGAACAUGUUAGUGCAUAUUCACAGAUGGGGACACUUCAGACUCAAUUAGGUGUUGCUGGUAGUAGCACCAUAGAAUAUCCACAGGAAGAGAGACCUCAACUUGAAGAAGAUUUACAAGUAGACGAGGAACAAGAUGACGAAGAGCUUGACUACCCAAGCGAUGAAGUUGAAGACAUAAUCUCUAUCUCUCCUAAAGAAGUACAAGAAGCUGCUGUAGAUGAACUUGAAGAACCAGAAAUGCAUUUGCCCAUCGUCAUACAAGAGCGUGAUGUAGCAGGUUUAUCUAAUCCUCUCGACGACAUGUGUCCUUACGAUUUCUUUGCUUCUACCUUCCAUUACAUGAUACCAUCACUUAAGCUAGACUUGAAAAACGGUUUGCUUGGACAUGAUCAUACAUACCCUGUUAUUGGCAUUUCUCUCAUUUAUGAUGACACUUAUUCUCCUCAUGCUAGACCUAUGCUUAAUGAUAAAUAUCAUCCUUAUGCUAGCAUUGAGCUUACUGAUUUCUACCAUCCUAAACAUGUGCUUUAUAGCUAUGCUUAUGUAAUUGGAUAUUCGAUUGAUGACUUGGAGGGUAUUAUCCCUACCACCUGCAUUGUCUCUUUUGUUGAGAGUUCUUUCAGGUUUUUGCUUGUGCACGAUCCACUACAGGCUGACAAGGUUCGAGGUGACAUUCCUUGGGACCCUGGUGGACUCAGAGCAUGGUGA